RNAcentral lists this ribosomal RNA (351 nucleotides) under Oscillospiraceae bacterium. Its description in RNAcentral is "bacterial SSU rRNA". It matches the Rfam family "Bacterial small subunit ribosomal RNA", at positions 1 to 332 of the family's 1533-position model. The record is from RNAcentral. Lineage: Bacteria; Bacillati; Bacillota; Clostridia; Eubacteriales; Oscillospiraceae.
UUUUUAUUGAGAGUUUGAUCCUGGCUCAGGACGAACGCUGGCGGCGUGCCUAACACAUGCAAGUCGAGCGGAGCCAUCCGACGGAUCCCUUCGGGGUGAAGACGGGGAAGCUUAGCGGCGGACGGGUGAGUAACGCGUGAGUAACCUGCCCUUGAGAGGGGAAUAACACACCGAAAGGUGUGCUAAUACCGCAUAACAUAUCUUUGCCGCAUGACAGAGAUAUCAAAGAUUUAUCGCUCAAGGAUGGACUCGCGUCUGAUUAGAUAGUUGGUGGGGUAACGGCUCACCAAGUCGACGAUCAGUAGCCGAACUGAGAGGUUGAUCGGCCACAUUGGGACUGAGACACGGCCC